GUAAAGCUUAAAUCUGAAACAAUAUCUGUUUGACUUCAAAACCAACCACCAUCCCCCCAUGCCACCAGGGGUUGGGGUGGGCAGGCAAGGGUUAAGGCUGAAGGGAAGGUGGGCCCUCCAGGCCCUGCUGGCUCCCGGAGCGCUGAGUGUGAUGCCGGGGUCCGGGCUCUGUCGGUUGCCGGGGUGCUGAUUAAGAUGUCACAGAAGAUUACGCUGUCAGGUGCAAGAAUCACACUCCAGGAGGGGUGGCUGCUGGGCCGGGAGGGAGGUUACCCUAGCAACGGAGACGGACUGUCCAUGCAGUGCAGUGUCCCAGCCUGGUGGAUCCAGAGCCUUGAUCUCCAUGGCUUCCUGACAUCUUUUCAUCCAGGUCAUGUCAACAUAUUUGCUAAAACUAACCGUGGGAGAUGUGUGCAGCAAUCCUAUUCCAGCACUGGAAAUCUGCAUUUUAAAUAAGACCCCUGGGUUCCUUCAAGAAUGAGAAGUAGAUCUAACAUUUGAUUCAGCAAUCUCACUCCUAAGUAUCUACUCGGAAGAAAAGAAGUCAUUAUAUGAAAAAGACACUUGUACAGGCAUGUUUGUAGCAGCACAAUUGCAAAAAUAUGGAACCAGCCCAAGUGCCCAUCAAUCAAUGAGUGGAUAAAGAAAAUGUGGUAUACAGGUAUGUAUACAGGUGGUGUUUGGUUACAUGGAUAAGUUCAUUAGCAGUGAUUUCUGAGAUUUUGGUGCACCCAUCAUCCAAGCAGUAUACACUGUACCUAAUGUGUAGUAUUUUAUCCCUCAGUUCCCUCCCACCCUUGCCCCAGAGUCUCGAAGAUCUAUUGUAUCAUUCUCAUGCCUUUGCAUCCUCAUAGCUUAGCUCCCAUUUACGAGAGAGAACAUACGAUGUUUGGUUUUCUAUUCCUGAGUUACUUCACUUAAAAUAAUGGUCUCCAAUUCCAUCCAGGUUGCCGCAAAUGCCGUUAUUUCAAAACCCCAAAUCCAGAAAUAACUGCUAAAGAACUUAUCCAUGUAAUCAAACACCACCUGUUCCCCA
RNAcentral lists this long non-coding RNA (1036 nucleotides) under Macaca mulatta (Rhesus monkey). RNAcentral describes it as "lncRNA (ENSMMUG00000051776.1)". Lineage: Eukaryota; Metazoa; Chordata; Mammalia; Primates; Cercopithecidae. The record is from RNAcentral.